UGUAUUUAAAAGAUGGCCGUCACCAGUUAGUACAAGUAACCUCACAGCGGUAAUAUGAUUGGUCAGAUCAUUGAAUUAAACAGGCUCCAACAGCAUAUACAUGGUGCAGAGGUCUAGUUCAGGUGAAGCUAGCCGACAGCUAGCAGCUCCAGCCACCUGUGUCACCAUCCACCUGUCAGUCAAAUAGGCCACACCCCUAAUAAUGGUGAAAAAGUUUUUUUAUGAGGCUGUAAACAUGUCUACUUCUGCUCUAAUAUUAAAACGGUAAACAUAGAAGUCUAUGGAGCCUCUGGUGGACAUUACAGGAACUGCAGCUUUUUGACACUUAGAUUUGUUGGACUGCAGGUAUAAAAACUUUUAGGAAGGAGAACAGGCUCCAGUCCACCGGGCACAGACUGCUACACACAGCGCUGCAGUGGAAGCACAUUUUCUCAUGUGUGCUGAUGCUGUCAGUAUAUGAAGCUGAUAGCACUCGUGUACCUGUGCACAGCAGCUGCAGCUGUCUGCCGUCAGUGUGUUACAGCGAGUCGAACAUGACGGAGCCUGAAGGACGGAGGAGGAUCUGAUCUGUGUUCAGUCAUGUCGGCCGCAGCCUGCAGUGCAGAGAUCCACACAGGAAUGUCGAAAACACAGCGAGCGGCUUCAUUACACCCACAGGAUCACAGAAACCAUGGCAACGUGUGUGUGUGUGUGUGUGGGGGGGGGGCACGGACAGCAGGUGGUCUGACGCAGCAGAGCAGCAGCACCCCCGCAGCUCUCAGAUGGUUCGUCCCACACAGGAGCAGAGCAGAGGGAACGGCCCACCUCUGCAGCAGGGAGGGGGGAGGACAGGAAGCUGGCUAAACGCUUCAAGCCCACUUACCAACCAUGGCUGAAUGAAUCCACUCGCACCCUCAGGCGUGAACGUCGCCGAGCCGAGAGGAAAUGGAAAAGACGAACUUCAAGUGUCCCUGGAAAUCCUGCAUAACUGCCGGUCAAAAUAUCAGAAGACUGACAAAACUGCAAAAGCUUCUUAUUGUUGAACUUAUUGCUAACAACAGUCACAAGCCUCAAGUUCUGUUUAAAAUCUUUAAUUCAGUUAUUAAUCCCUGAGGGAUGCCUCCCCGGCUCUCUGUGAAGAAUUCUUACAUUACUUUAUAGAUAAAAUUUCAGCACUGAGGGCACCAUAUCUACCAGCAGUUAACCAAACCCCAGUUUCUGAAUGCUCUGGGGUUUUUCAAUAGUUUGAGCCCGUACCUUUUUCGACUCUGAAAGAAAUAAUUGAUCCUAUGAGAAGCUCUAAUACGCUUCCUUCCCGCAUUAUUAAGGAAGCUCUGACUACUAUCGAUCCCUCUAUCUUACUUCUAACGAACUCUUCACUGUCAUCAGGCUGUGCUCCGACUGCCUUCAAACACACAACCGUACAACCUGUAAUCAAGAAAAGCAACGCUGA
Long non-coding RNA from Astatotilapia calliptera (eastern happy), 1432 nucleotides. NCBI's taxonomy places the organism in Eukaryota, Metazoa, Chordata, Actinopteri, Cichliformes, Cichlidae. The record is from Ensembl.